CAAUUUGAGUACUCAUACAUAAUUUUUGGAGUUCGGGAAGGGUUCCAACCGGAUAGGAUAAGUCAUGAAAACGUUACUGUCAGAAGGACUAGCGCCCAAGGGUAACUUACUCUUUCUUUUCAAGACAAAACGUUGGAACCACAUGGGAAUUGCGUGGAAAGGUAGGGAAUCUGAUCCAGAUCCAACAUUUUGGUCCCUUGAGCAUGAGAGGAGCAUGGGAAGACCUACUUUACAAAAUUAAAUGGUUGUUUGUGAUGGGGAGGGGUCCUUGGUUGUCUAGGCUCAUUUCUUUUAGCCUAAAAUCUGGUCUGGAGUUUUUGGGCAGAGGAAAGAGGCUCUUGGAGAGGAGAGCACGAAAAUUCUAAGUGUCCAAAGGAUGGGAGAUGACUUGGUCUAGCAAGGGGGAGAAGAGUUGCUCUCUUGGAAGAAGAAGUUGAAGUGUCCAAAAGAGAUCUUCAAGAGGUAAGGGGAGCUAACUUGUCUCUUUUAUUUUUUUGUAUGUGUAGAAUUUACUUGAUGAGUAUGUUGUUUCUUAUGGGUGGAAAUUGGGUAUUAAAGAUUUGAGAAUGAGAAAUUGAGAUUUGCAUGGUAUAAUUUCAAGAAGUUGAUUGAAUGAAUCUUUUACUACAACUUUGAUCUUUGAAUAUUGGUUAAAUUACAUGAUGGAAGUUUGGUGGGAAUUGAUGGAUCUAUGAUGAAUUGAUGGUGGAAUUUCGUUUUUGUAUGUUGGUAUGUGUGGAAGGGAAGUUUUGAAUGAAUUUGGUUAUGAAAUUGGAUUGAAAACAUGGAAGUUUAUCUCACUUUGUCAUGAAGUGCGAAAAUAGUUUGUUUUGGAUGAUUGAUGAAUUUUGGAUGGAUCAAUUGAUUUGUGAUGUGGAGAUACUUGGCAAGAUGGAAGUAUAAUGAGUAAAACAGUAAGUUAAAUGAUGUUAUAAAAAAUUAUGUGUUGAAAAUUGGUAGAUUUAAAAGUAUGUUUUGUUGAGAAAAGUUUAUAAUGAGUUGUUGGAAAAAUUCACUUGAGUAUUGUGCAUUUCCAAAUUUGUUUUUGAUGAUGGGUAAAUGGGUGAUUGGUAUGAACUGUUUUGGGGUGGAUUUAGCACAUUUUAGGGGCUGUUAGAAUGAUUAUCAUGUUGUUUAAAUGUGCUAGAAAAAAAAAAAUUUAUGGAGAAAAAUAUGUUUUAUGUGUAAUGGAAAGAGUUGAUUUUGUAUGAGAUUGGAUGUAAUGAUGUUUGUGAUAUUUGUGAUUGAUUGUGGAGUGAUACUAGACUCCAAAUAUGUUUGAAAACAUGUUAGAAGUGUCAAAUCUGAGUUGAGAAAUAAAUUUGGGCAAAACUGGACGAAAUUGGCUGCUGUCCAGGGAUGUCAGCGCUGGGCAGUGCAAGUUGUGCCGCUGGGCGUCAUUCUGCAGUACGCAGCAUGGUGCAGAAAAUGUUUUUGGAGGUUUUGGGGGUUCUGGAUGUCCGUUUUGGACGUUCUUUAGGUCGUUCUGGAGGUUUUUGACCCUUCCGGAGCCAUUGGUGAUGGUCUCCAAGCUGUUUGAGUUACCUAAGUUUCGGUAAUCAGUGUUGCCAUGAAGAAAGUUGUGAAUUUGAUUGUGAAUGAUGGAUUGAGUGAUGUGGAAAUGAGUUGUAUGUGAAUAUACUUUGUUAAGUAUGGUUGUGGAUAACUAAGUAAGUUUAAUUGAGAAUGAUGUGUCGAGAAAUACAAGGAAAGAAAUAUAUGUGAAAAUACUUUGUUAAGUAUGGUUGAGGAUAAUUAAACUGUAAGUUUAAUUGCGUUGAUAAGGAGAUGUAUGUGAAAUACUUUGUUAAGUAUGAUUAAGGAUUAUUAGAUUGUGAUUGUGAAUUGAGUUUGGAGAUGAGUAUUCUCUUGAGUAUCCGNNN
This 1883-nucleotide long non-coding RNA is filed under the name Vigna radiata. RNAcentral describes it as "long non-coding RNA (VRAD_LNC001240)". The record is from RNAcentral. Lineage: Eukaryota; Viridiplantae; Streptophyta; Magnoliopsida; Fabales; Fabaceae.